Molecule: long non-coding RNA, 3775 nt
Organism: Panthera uncia (snow leopard)
Lineage: Eukaryota; Metazoa; Chordata; Mammalia; Carnivora; Felidae
Exons: 2
Source: RefSeq, a predicted model, not a curated record
UAUAUAUAUAUGGAAGUACGGUGGAAGAUAAAGCAGUGUAAGUAGUUUGGGGUUUUGUUCUGGAGGACCAGCCUAAAUACCAUGUGACAAUCCUUGAAUGUUUUUGAACAGCACCAUGGCAUGGUGAAAAUCAAGUUUCAGAAAUAAUUAUUUGAUAAGAAUGUGGAAAAUAACUAUUUUCUUUCAACAAGAUAUGUUGACUACCUACCGUUUGCUAAGUGUGUGCCAGGCACUGAGGUUACAAAGCUAAGGAAAGCAGUUUCUGCCUUUGGAAGUAACUACUCUGUAGAAAAAGAUAUAUUAAGAGAAAAAAAUUUUUUUUUUAAUUUAGGUAAGUUCAGUGAUAAUGAUGUAGCUGAAAUGCUAUUAGAUCAUAGAGGAAGGGAACUUAACCUACAUAGGAAUUCUUGAGAAGGUUUUCUGGUGGAUGUGAUACCUUAAUAGCAUCUCAGAAAAUGAAGGAAUGUAGUAACAAAUUUGGAAGAGCAUUCCAGGCAGAGGGAACAGUAAAACAAAGACAUAGAAACAGAGGCAAACAUAUUAGGUUCAUACCACUAUGGGCACAUCUAGUUUGCUGUGUUCUAAAGCAAAGAGUAGUGUUUGAAGUUAACAAGGACUUUGUAUGCCUUUCUUGUGUUCAAGGUGAGAAAUGCUGCAGGCCUGAACGAGGGAAUUUGUGGUAAGGAUGGUGAGAAAGGGGUAGUUUCUCUUAGAAAACGAAGGGGUAAAAUCAUUAGAACUAAGUGAUUGGAUUUGGGGGAUGAGGAUAAAAGAGGAGCCCCAAAUUGCUCUUAGAUUUCUGCCUGGUAUUCAGGUAGAUUAGUAGCACCAUUAACUGAGAAUGGACAGGAGAGAGUAGCAAAUCGGGAGUGAAUGCAGCGUUGGACAUUUUGACAUCCAGGUCCAGCAGACCUUAAGAUAUACAUCUUAAUAUCUUAACAUAUAAUAUAAUAUCUAUAGUGUCUUAAAUAUAUCUGAAGCAUGGGAGAGUUCAGAAUUAGAGACUUUUGGGGUCAGCUGCCCUGAGUGCCGUUUUAACCACAAGUGUGCAUCAAGCCAUGUCGGUGGUUCUUUGAAGCAGAAUGAAAAUGGUACAUAGAGGAACAGUAGUGUUUAACCAGUGGUAGAGGAAGUCUUACAAAGCAGACUGAUCAUAACUUGUCAAAAGCAAGACAGCCACGAGUAGUAUCACAGAACUCAAGAGAAGAUUUUAUGUUCAAAAUGAAUAAUAUCAAAUGUUCUAGUGGAGGCUAAUUAAAUAUGUACUGAAACCUUGACAGUAGAUAUGACAAUUUGGUGAUCUUUUUUGUUCUCAGGAAAAAGGGAAGGAGUCAGGGCAUAGCUAGAGAGGUACACAGAAUUGAAGAAAGGAUUUUGAUAAAAAUGAAGACUGAGCAUGUUUAUAUACUGAAGGUGACAGCAGCUAACGUUUAUUGAAGACAUACUGGAUUCCAGGCCGUCUUCUAAGGGUUUCAUGUAUUAACUCAUUUAUUCCUCACAGUAACCCUAUAAAGUAGAUACUCUUUUCCUCAUUUUCCUAAAGAGGAGAGUUAACCACAGAGAGAUUGUCACAUGGCUGACAACUGGUAAAAGAGCAGAAUCAGAAUUUGAACCCUGGGGUUCUGACACAAUAGGCCAGUUAUUUACCAAUAUCCUAUACUGCCUCCAUAGAACUGUAGAGAUUGUAGACAUGGAGAAGAGUGGUAAUUAAUGGAUUAAGAUCAGAAAAGACUGGAGGGGAUAAAGGGGAACAUUGGUGAGAGUUUUGGUCUUGAACAGGAGUGAGGAUAUUUAAUUCUUGAAGACCAGAAACCAGGCCUACAGGUGGAGGUGGUAAGUUUGGGGAUGGGAUGAGACAAUUGUCAAGUUUAAGAAUUUAAUCACAUCAAACUUUUCCCAUCAAAUACGUAGCUAUUUAUUAAAUUUAUACCUUGUUAUUAUAAAACAUAAACACAGAUAUGGAAAACUGCUGAGAAACAAAUGUAUAGCUUAUCAUGAACUAUUACAAGAUAUAACCAUCACCCAGGUAAAAGAAAUCAUCAGCCAAUCCAGAAACUCUCUUUGUGUUCCAUUCCAGUUAAAACCCUCUUUAUCUCUCGCAGUGUUACCAAUAUCUUAACAUUUAUGGCAAUGAGGUUUUUGUUUUUCUUACAGUUUUAGCAGAUGUGGGCAUUUCUAAACUCCACAUUUAAGUUUUUCCUUUUUUACUCUUUUGUCCUUUGAACCUCAACCUACAGAUUCCUCCUCAGUCUUUUUUCCUUGUCACGAAUUUGAUGAAGAAACCAGGUUUCCACCUGUUGAAUUUCCCAGAGUCUGGAUUUUGCUGAUUGAAUAUCUAUGAAAUAGCCAGUGUUGCUCCAGUGUGAUAGAUGAGGAGAGAAGCGGAAUUUCAAUGUCGUCUGUGUUGAGUCUCGCUGACCACUAACGCCUCCUUUGGAGGCAGACGCACGCCAACGCUAACAUCGGCCCUGCCCCAGGCAGUUAGAGAUUUGUGCUCCGGUCCUUGGGUUCACACUUGCACCCUGUUUGACAUAAAUACUUUAAAUGACAUACAACGUAUGUAGUUUUGUGCUUAUUACUUUUUAAAAGAAUAAAUAAUAGUAAAAACUGCAUAAACGAAGCUCGGUAUCUUGUCCAAGUGGGAGCCACACUUGUAGUGCUAGAAGUUGAUGCCCGACAUUAGAACUGGAAUUUUGUGUCAUCAAAUACCGAAAGAUGGAAAGCACGUCCUGUCCUGUCCUUUUCUCCUUAGAAAUGGUUUUUAUUAUGAAAUGACGGCAACUUGACUUCCCAGAUAUAAAAAUGGCGAAUGCGUAUUUGGUACCAACUUCAACUAAACAAGCGCGGUGGUGGCGGCUUUCUUCUUGCCCUGGAAUGGAAACUGGUCACCGCGUGAGGUUUGAGGGUCUGAGGACUGGCAGGAAGGCCUUUCUCUCAUGAGCCACGGUGUGACCUCCCUCCUGGCUCCCCCUUCUCUGGUUAAAAUGCUACAGGAGGAGUGAUUCUGCUCAUGCCCCUCAGGCCGUGGCUGUCAUGGCUCAUCUACGAAGGCUGUCCCUAUCCUGAGAGCUCUUGUGGCAGGUGCCUUAAUAUAUAGCUAUAAAUAUCAAAAAUAGUCUCCUGUGCUUUGUAGACAUUUAUUCUCCCUCCCUCCCUUCCUCCCUUCCUACCCGGCCUGGGUCCUCAGCUUGACCUCAUGGAGGGAGCUGGACUGGUGUCAUGAGCCAGAACUGGUUUCCUUCUAGAACAGAAUCUUCUUUGACAAUGCCUCCAUGAGGCACAGCUCUUAAUGGGGCUGUCUGGGAGUUACAUUUUUUAAAAAAUAAAACGGGGGUAUUCACCCCCACCCAGGAGAGAUCCUCUAUUCUGCACGUAGAAAAAAUUAGAGCAAAUGCCCCACUCUGGCACUACCUGCGAAGAGCUUUGGGAAUUCCUGCAUUAUCCCUCUCAUGGCCUCCUCCUUCUCUCAGUACUUAAAAAUAGCCUUUUUGUUUAUCAAGAAAAUGCCUUGGAAAUCUAAAUAAUUCAUAUCGGACAAGAGAAAGCUAGCACGGUCACCUGUCCUCCAGCAAAAACAAGGUAGAGAAACCCAUGAAGGACAAAGGUUCUCCCAGCUGUCCCUAGGCUGCUCCCUGCGCUGUGGCUCCAGCCACAUCUGGCUCUGCAUGGGCAGCUGGACUCGUCCUCAGCCCAGCAGGAACCAGCAGGGACCUCCUAGGCCUUGUGCAGCACAGUAUUGUCCCUUCUCUUCUCUCGGCCACUGAAAAGUGUAGAU